AGGUGAGAGGAGGGAAGGGUGAUGUGGAGGAUGGACUGGGGUGUUUGCUGCAAGGUGGGUAGCUGAGGGUUGGUUCAGGUGUUUGGCAUUGGUUGGGAUCCAAUAGCUGUUGUCUGAGAGUCUGCUCGUCAUCUCUUCCUGCUGAGGCUGGUGGGACUGAACUGACCUUCAUAUCUCAGCGAUGAGUCCUGUAGACUGCAGGCUCCACGGCAGUUGCAGCUCCCAGGGCUUCAGAUUGGAGCUGCCUGUGACAUGCAGAGGUGGAAGCACAGCCUCAGCUGUGGUGGACGGCAGCCUCUUUCAGCCCCCAGGUGCAUAACAAAGGCUGUCUUGAUUGUAUCUGUGAGAGUGCCAUGAUUUGGGGUUUUCUCUGUCGGUUUGGACCAGAUCAGAAAGCAAUUGGGACUAUUGUGUCUCUCAUGGAAACCCAAG
Molecule: long non-coding RNA, 432 nt
Filed under: Homo sapiens (human)
Lineage: Eukaryota; Metazoa; Chordata; Mammalia; Primates; Hominidae
Description: non-protein coding LINC01127:38
Source: RNAcentral